GACGAACGCUGGCGGCGUGCCUAAUACAUGCAAGUCGAGCGAGUCUGCCUUGAAGAUCGGAGUGCUUGCACUCUGUGAAACAAGAUACAGGCUAGCGGCGGACGGGUGAGUAACACGUGGGUAACCUGCCCAAGAGAUCGGGAUAACACCUGGAAACAGAUGCUAAUACCGGAUAACAACAGAUGAUGCCUAUCAACUGUUUAAAAGAUGGUUCUGCUAUCACUCUUGGAUGGACCUGCGGUGCAUUAGCUAGUUGGUAGGGUAACGGCCUACCAAGGCGAUGAUGCAUAGCCGAGUUGAGAGACUGAUCGGCCACAUUGGGACUGAGACACGGCCCAAACUCCUACGGGAGGCAGCAGUAGGGAAUCUUCCACAAAGGACGCAAGUCUGAUGGAGCAACGCCGCGUGAGUGAAGAAGGGUUUCGGCUCGUAAAGCUCUGUUGUUGGUGAAGAAGGACAGGGGUAGUAACUGACCUUUGUUUGACGGUAAUCAAUUAGAAAGUCACGGCUAACUAAGUG
This 519-nucleotide ribosomal RNA is filed under the name uncultured bacterium. Its description in RNAcentral is "partial 16S ribosomal RNA". It matches the Rfam family "Bacterial small subunit ribosomal RNA", at positions 28 to 507 of the family's 1533-position model. The record is from RNAcentral.